Long non-coding RNA from Crotalus tigris (Tiger rattlesnake), 1352 nucleotides. RefSeq lists it as uncharacterized. The transcript has 4 exons. The record is from RefSeq and is a predicted model, not a curated record. Lineage: Eukaryota; Metazoa; Chordata; Lepidosauria; Squamata; Viperidae.
GAGAGGAAGGUCCGCCGUUCGCACAGUGAAAACGAAGGAUCAGCCAAGCGGUUAGCCGCUUAGUCACGUGCAGCGAGCCGCCGACGCCCAUUCCAUUCUCGAAUGCUAAUAAGGCGGGGAGUUCCAAAUCGGAGCGUUCGGGGGAAUAAGGGUUCUUCCUUCGAGCUGUUCCCCCUCCCCGCUGGGAACCACCCGGUUCUGCAGUGUAGGCCGCAGUGCUGUCACCUGAUUGCCGAGCACACCAUCUCUCCCUUCCGCCAUAAGGAAGGAUGGAAUGGUAGGGUCUGGAAUAUGACACCGCAGCCCCUCCCCUUGGAUGAUCUCGGAUGGCCAGUCUCACAAGAGCCGGGUGUCGCCGUCUGAGAGGGAUUCCCGGGGUCUGCAGCUGCCGCCAUCCACCCACCGCCCACCGCGGCACGGAUCUAGACAGAGACGUUUGUCAAGGCAGGCGACAUAAUGGUUUCUCCUUUUGUUGCUGUCACAGAAAGGUUUAAAGACCACAACAACUUCUCAUCAUCAAUCAGCACCCAGAUGAGCAGAGCUUAAUAUCAAGAUUAGAUUAGACCAACAAUCAAUAAGCAAACAUUAUCCCAAUCAAGGAACUGCCAAACAAGAGAGCAAGGGAUAUGGCAUCACUUAUCUCCUGUAUACAACAGCCCUUUCAGCAGUCCCAAGAAGUUCCUACACCCAUUUGCACUCUGGUUCAAGUGACUCUGAAGAUAAGAAAACCCCCCAAAUGACCUCAACAACUCUGAGAGGAUUAGAGAGCUAAUGAUCAACUGACCCUCAGAAUGCUAAAGACCAGAUGACAGCAAAGAAUAUAAACCCUUGCAUUCCUCACCAGUCAGUCAGAACCGAAAAAGUUUCUUGGAUGAGAAGCAAAAUGUUUUCAAAGACAAAAACCCAACAAAGUCCAGUUGCCCUUUGGAAAAGCACCUUUAAGGCAACCAUAACCUGGAUGAUCAAGAAUCUCCAUAGACAAUAAAAAUUACAUUUAUCUCCUAUUAACUUCAGUGAGGCCUUCUCCCAUAUAAAUAGCAAAACUUCUUGUUUAUUUUAGUCAAAAUAUAUACAUUUGAAUUACUUCAAAUAUUUUAAAUAAAUAUUUCAUUUAAGGUGUUAACAUAUAAAUGCCUAAGGAUUAUUUGCUUACUUUUCACUGUAUUUUAAAUCCAUCAAAUCAGAAGACUAGACUCUUAGUCUAUUUUGAUAAGUUGUUAUGUAUAAAUAGAAAGUGGGUCCCAUCAUUUCUGCAGAAAGAAGAGAGAGAGAACAUGUAUUAAAUAAAUUUUCCAAGUUUAUAACCUAGGGGAUGAUGGUCUGUCAACUUCUGGUGCUAUCUGUAUUAAAAU